GCAGCCGCGGUAACACCGGCAGCUCUAGUGGUAGCUGUUUUUAUUGGGCCUAAAGCGUUCGUAGCCGGUUUGAUAAGUCUCUGGUGAAAUCCUGUAGCUUAACUGUGGGAAUUGCUGGUGAUACUGUUGAACUUGAGGUCGGGAGAGGUUAGCGGUACUCCCAGGGUAGAGGUGAAAUUCUGUAAUCCUGGGAGGACCACCUGUGGCGAAGGCGGCUAACUGGAACGAACCUGACGGUGAGGGACGAAAGCUAGGGGCGCGAACCGGAUUAGAUACCCC
RNAcentral lists this ribosomal RNA (279 nucleotides) under uncultured Methanobrevibacter sp. RNAcentral's name for it is "partial 16S ribosomal RNA". It matches the Rfam family "Archaeal small subunit ribosomal RNA", at positions 461 to 739 of the family's 1478-position model. The record is from RNAcentral. Lineage: Archaea; Methanobacteriati; Methanobacteriota; Methanobacteria; Methanobacteriales; Methanobacteriaceae.